Molecule: RNA transcript, 882 nt
Organism: Arachis duranensis
Lineage: Eukaryota; Viridiplantae; Streptophyta; Magnoliopsida; Fabales; Fabaceae
Gene name: AUGMIN subunit 4-like
Exons: 9
Source: RefSeq, a predicted model, not a curated record
UACCUUCGAGCUCCACAGUUACACACCACAGUUUCACAAGCAGCUUCAGACUCCAUUCACACUCCACAGUUUCACAAGCAGCUUCACCUCCUCAGUGCCACAUUCUUCCAUCACCGCUGUUCCAUAACCACAAUCAUCCACCGCAUUCUUCCAUCAUCAACACCUUUGGGACUUCCAUCACUCUCGUCGUCGUUGUCAAUCAUCACUCUCGGUCCAUUGAACAAACAGAACCUGGAGUUUUUCUGAGCUGGGUUGGAGCUGAAUCCAAGGUAGCAGUUUGAUGGAGCAUCCACCUCAUGCCGUUUUUAUUAAUGUGAACCUCAUGACUAUGAAUGCAAUGGUCUCAACAAGUCCAGAGCUGUCAGCACAGGCACCCUUGUUCUUGGCAUGCUAACAACGGUGUUAUCCGUCUUGUAUUCUGCUGUUCGUGCUGGAUCUUCAACUGCACUUUUAGCAUCUCCACCAUCUUCACCAAAAUCUGAAUUCUUAUAAACUAUAACAAAACAUUGUUGGAAAAUUAUUAGCUACUGCAAUUGGGAUUGCAAAGAAGCCAGAAAAUACUGAAAAAUUCAUUGUUGGUUCUGGAACAUAUUCUCCUGCUUGAAACUUAUACAAAGGACUCUAUACCCGCACUUCAUAAGAUAAGGAAAUAUCUUGUUGAGGCAACUGAAGAAGCAUCGAUUGCAUAUAAUAAAGCAGUAACUCGCUUGCGUGAAUACCAAGGUGUUGAUCCUCACUUUGACAACAUUGCAAGGCAGUAUCAUGACAUCGUAAAGAAAUUGGAGAAUAUGCAAUGGACAAUCCACCAAGUUGAAAUGGAUCUGAAACGUUUACCAGAUAACACCACCAGCUAGGAGUUUUUAUUCAUUUGGCCUCUUAACA